This 497-nucleotide ribosomal RNA is filed under the name uncultured bacterium. RNAcentral's name for it is "partial 16S ribosomal RNA". It matches the Rfam family "Bacterial small subunit ribosomal RNA", at positions 28 to 507 of the family's 1533-position model. The record is from RNAcentral.
GACGAACGCUGGCGGCGUGCCUAAUACAUGCAAGUUGAGCGCUGAAGGUUGGUACUUGUACCGACUGGAUGAGCAGCGAACGGGUGAGUAACGCGUGGGGAAUCUGCCUUUGAGCGGGGGACAACAUUUGGAAACGAAUGCUAAUACCGCAUAAAAACUUUAAACACAAGUUUUAAGUUUGAAAGAUGCAAUUGCAUCACUCAAAGAUGAUCCCGCGUUGUAUUAGCUAGUUGGUGAGGUAAAGGCUCACCAAGGCGAUGAUACAUAGCCGACCUGAGAGGGUGAUCGGCCACAUUGGGACUGAGACACGGCCCAAACUCCUACGGGAGGCAGCAGUAGGGAAUCUUCGGCAAUGGACGAAAGUCUGACCGAGCAACGCCGCGUGAGUGCAGAAGGUUUUCGGAUCGUAAAACUCUGUUGGUAGAGAAGAACGUUGGUGAGAGUGGAAAGCUCAUCAAGUGACGGUAACUACCCAGAAAGGGACGGCUAACUACGUG